CCUGCAGUCGAGCGGUAGCACAGAGAGCUUGCUCUCGGGUGACGAGCGGCGGACGGGUGAGUAAUGUCUGGGAAACUGCCUGAUGGAGGGGGAUAACUACUGGAAACGGUAGCUAAUACCGCAUAACGUCGCAAGACCAAAGUGGGGGACCUUCGGGCCUCAUGCCAUCAGAUGUGCCCAGAUGGGAUUAGCUGGUAGGUGGGGUAACGGCUCACCUAGGCGACGAUCCCUAGCUGGUCUGAGAGGAUGACCAGCCACACUGGAACUGAGACACGGUCCAGACUCCUACGGGAGGCAGCAGUGGGGAAUAUUGCACAAUGGGCGCAAGCCUGAUGCAGCCAUGCCGCGUGUGUGAAGAAGGCCUUCGGGUUGUAAAGCACUUUCAGCGGGGAGGAAGGCGGUGAGGUUAAUAACCUCAUCGAUUGACGUUACCCGCAGAAGAAGCACCGGCUAACUCCGUGCCAGCAGCCGCGGUAAUACGGAGGGUGCAAGCGUUAAUCGGAAUUACUGGGCGUAAAGCGCACGCAGGCGGUCUGUCAAGUCGGAUGUGAAAUCCCCGGGCUCAACCUGGGAACUGCAUUCGAAACUGGCAGGCUAGAGUCUUGUAGAGGGGGGUAGAAUUCCAGGUGUAGCGGUGAAAUGCGUAGAGAUCUGGAGGAAUACCGGUGGCGAAGGCGGCCCCCUGGACAAAGACUGACGCUCAGGUGCGAAAGCGUGGGGAGCAAACAGGAUUAGAUACCCUGGUAGUCCACGCUGUAAACGAUGUCGAUUUGGAGGUUGUGCCCUUGAGGCGUGGCUUCCGGAGCUAACGCGUUAAAUCGACCGCCUGGGGAGUACGGCCGCAAGGUUAAAACUCAAAUGAAUUGACGGGGGCCCGCACAAGCGGUGGAGCAUGUGGUUUAAUUCGAUGCAACGCGAAGAACCUUACCUGGUCUUGACAUCCACAGAACUUUCCAGAGAUGGAUUGGUGCCUUCGGGAACUGUGAGACAGGUGCUGCAUGGCUGUCGUCAGCUCGUGUUGUGAAAUGUUGGGUUAAGUCCCGCAACGAGCGCAACCCUUAUCCUUUGUUGCCAGCGGUUAGGCCGGGAACUCAAAGGAGACUGCCAGUGAUAAACUGGAGGAAGGUGGGGAUGACGUCAAGUCAUCAUGGCCCUUACGACCAGGGCUACACACGUGCUACAAUGGCAUAUACAAAGAGAAGCGACCUCGCGAGAGCAAGCGGACCUCAUAAAGUAUGUCGUAGUCCGGAUUGGAGUCUGCAACUCGACUCCAUGAAGUCGGAAUCGCUAGUAAUCGUAGAUCAGAAUGCUACGGUGAAUACGUUCCCGGGCCUUGUACACACCGCCCGUCACACCAUGGGAGUGGGUGCAAAAGAAGUAGGUAGCUAACCUCGGGAGGCGCU
Molecule: ribosomal RNA, 1403 nt
Filed under: Klebsiella sp.
Lineage: Bacteria; Pseudomonadati; Pseudomonadota; Gammaproteobacteria; Enterobacterales; Enterobacteriaceae
Description: bacterial SSU rRNA
Rfam family: Bacterial small subunit ribosomal RNA
Source: RNAcentral